AUUAACGCUGGCGGCGUGCCUAACCCAUGCAAGUCGAGCGGCAGCGAGUUUUACACUGAAUUCUGGAAGCUUCUAGUUGAAAGAGAAGAUUUAUUCAAGAAUUUUGUGCAAAAUGUCGGCGAGCGGCGGACGGCUGAGUAACGCGUGGGAACGUACCCCAAAGUGAGGGAUAACGCAUCGAAAGGUGUGCUAAUACCGCAUAUGGUCUUCGGAUUAAAGCCUUCGGGCGCUUUGGGAACGGCCUGCGUAAGAUUAGAUAGUUGGUGGGGUAAUGGCCUACCAAGUUGACGAUCUUUAACUGGUUUGAGAGGAUGAUCAGUCAGACUGGAACUGAGACACGGUCCAGACUCCUACGGGAGGCAGCAGUGAGGAAUCUUCCACAAUGGGCGAAAGCCUGAUGGAGCAACGCCGCGUGCAGGAUGAAGGCCUUCGGGUUGUAAACUGCUUUUAUAAGUGAGGAUUAUGACAGUAACUUAUGAAUAAGGAUCGGCUAACUACGUG
RNAcentral lists this ribosomal RNA (501 nucleotides) under uncultured bacterium. RNAcentral describes it as "partial 16S ribosomal RNA". It matches the Rfam family "Bacterial small subunit ribosomal RNA", at positions 29 to 507 of the family's 1533-position model. The record is from RNAcentral.